Molecule: ribosomal RNA, 700 nt
Filed under: uncultured bacterium
Lineage: Bacteria
Description: bacterial SSU rRNA
Rfam family: Bacterial small subunit ribosomal RNA
Source: RNAcentral
AGUGGCGGACGGGUGAGUAACACGUAAGAAUUUGCCUCUAGGAGGGGGACAACAGCUGGAAACGGCUGCUAAUACCCCAUAUGCUUUCGAGUGAAAUGAAAUUUUUCGCCUAGAGAGAAGCUUGCGGCUGAUUAGCUUGUUGGUAAGGUAAUGGCUUACCAAGGCGACGAUCAGUAUCUGGUUUGAGAGGACGAUCAGACACACUGGAACUGAGACACGGUCCAGACUCCUACGGGAGGCAGCAGUGGGGAAUUUUCCGCAAUGGGCGAAAGCCUGACGGAGCAAUCUCGCGUGAGGGAUGACUGCCUAUGGGUUGUAAACCUCUUUUUUCAGGGAGGAAUCAAUGACGUGUACCUGAAGAAUAAGCAUCGGCUAACUCCGUGCCAGCAGCCGCGGUAAGACGGAGGAUGCAAGUGUUAUCCGGAAUCACUGGGCGUAAAGCGUCUGUAGGUGGUUUACUAAGUCAACUGUUAAAUCUUGAAGCUCAACUUCAAAAUCGCAGUCGAAACUAGUAGACUAGAGUAUAGUAGGGGUAAAGGGAAUUUCCAGUGGAGCGGUGAAAUGCGUAGAUAUUGGAAAGAACACCGAUGGCGAAGGCACUUUACUGGGCUAUUACUAACACUGAGAGACGAAAGCUAGGGUAGCAAAUGGGAUUAGAUACCCCAGUAGUCCUAGCUGUAAACAAUGGAUACUAGAUGUU